CUCAACCGGGUCUGUGGUUGCCCGGGGAUCUUCCCCGGUAGUCGACGCCAGCCGCGGGCGAAACGACCCACGUAAGGCGACCUUUGGUCGCCGAGCAUGGCGCGGUUUAGAUGUAAGUCCUGCCGUGGCACCGGGCACGGGGUCGCGAGAGGGCGGGAGUGCGGUCGCCACGGACGUCCAGGCGACCGGGCGAGCGCUCCGGCAGGCGAGUGUGGGGGCAAAGACCAGGUCAGCCGGGCGAG
RNAcentral lists this non-coding RNA (242 nucleotides) under unclassified sequences. RNAcentral describes it as "raiA RNA". It matches the Rfam family "raiA RNA". The record is from Rfam by way of RNAcentral.